AUGAAGUGGCGCCAAGCUUCUGGCAUUCUCUGUGACAAGAGAGUGCCACAAAAGCUAAAAGGCAAGUUCUACAGGACAGCGGUUCGACCUGCAAUGUUGUAUGGCGCGGAGUGUUGGCCGACUAAAAGGCGACAUGUUCAACAGUUAGGUGUGGCGGAGAUGCAUAUGUUGAGAUGGAUGUGUGGCCACACGAGGAAGGAUCAAGUCCGGAAUGAUGAUAUACGAGAUAGAGUUGGGGUAGCACCAAUUGAGGAGAAGCUUGUCCAACAUCGUUUGAGAUGGUUUGGGCAUAUUCAGCGCAGGCCUCCAGAAGCUCCAGUGCAUAGCGGACGGCUAAAGCGUGCGGAGAAUGUCAAGAGAGGG
This 363-nucleotide ribosomal RNA is filed under the name Triticum aestivum (bread wheat). RNAcentral describes it as "partial small subunit ribosomal RNA". The record is from RNAcentral. Lineage: Eukaryota; Viridiplantae; Streptophyta; Magnoliopsida; Poales; Poaceae.